UGUCAAGGGAUGGGAAUCGAACCCACGACCAUGCCAUGACCACUAGGCUACCCUGGAC
Molecule: transfer RNA, 58 nt
Filed under: Cordylochernes scorpioides
Lineage: Eukaryota; Metazoa; Arthropoda; Arachnida; Pseudoscorpiones; Chernetidae
Description: tRNA-OTHER
Source: RNAcentral